GAGAAUGAAAAUUCAUUGAAUAGAGCCCACGUUUUUUAUUUGCUCACUUGAAAGAUGGGGAUCUAAGCUCCCGCUGUCUAGAACGCCCGGAGGUGGGAGUAACCCAGAGUUGAAAAAGUUUGUCAAAAACAAGUUGACAG
This is a non-coding RNA of Caenorhabditis elegans, 140 nucleotides long. The record is from Ensembl. NCBI's taxonomy places the organism in Eukaryota, Metazoa, Nematoda, Chromadorea, Rhabditida, Rhabditidae.